This 583-nucleotide ribosomal RNA is filed under the name fungal sp. RNAcentral describes it as "eukaryotic LSU rRNA". The stretch from base 229 to 382 matches the Rfam family "5.8S ribosomal RNA". Lineage: Eukaryota; Fungi. The record is from RNAcentral.
GACCUGCGGAGGAUCAUUAAUCUAAUUCCAUGAGGUGCGGUCGCGGCCCUCGGCGGGAGCAACAGCUACCGUCGGGCGGUAGAGGUAACACUUUCACGCGCCGCAUGUCUGAAUCCUUUUUUUACGAGCACCUUUCGUUCUCCUUCGGCGGGGCAACCUGCCGUUGGAACCUAUCAAAACCUUUUUUUUGCAUCUAGCAUUACCUGUUCUGAUACAAACAAUCGUUACAACUUUCAACAAUGGAUCUCUUGGCUCUGGCAUCGAUGAAGAACGCAGCGAAAUGCGAUAAGUAGUGUGAAUUGCAGAAUUCAGUGAAUCAUCGAAUCUUUGAACGCACAUUGCGCCCCUUGGUAUUCCAUGGGGCAUGCCUGUUCGAGCGUCAUCUACACCCUCAAGCUCUGCUUGGUGUUGGGCGUCUGUCCCGCCUCUGCGCGCGGACUCGCCCCAAAUUCAUUGGCAGCGGUCCUUGCCUCCUCUCGCGCAGCACAUUGCGCUUCUCGAGGUGCGCGGCCCGCGUCCACGAAGCAACAUUACCGUCUUUGACCUCGGAUCAGGUAGGGAUACCCGCUGAACUUAAGCAUAU